Molecule: unclassified non-coding RNA, 177 nt
Filed under: uncultured Aureobasidium
Lineage: Eukaryota; Fungi; Ascomycota; Dothideomycetes; Dothideales; Dothioraceae
Description: sequence contains ITS1
Source: RNAcentral
AAGAGUAAGGGUGCUCAGCGCCCGACCUCCAACCCUUUGUUGUUAAAACUACCUUGUUGCUUUGGCGGGACCGCUCGGUCUCGAGCCGCAGGGGCUUCGGCCCAGGCGAGCGCCCGCCAGAGUUAAACCAAACUCUUGUUUUUAACCGGUCGUCUGAGUAAAAUUUUGAAUAAAUCA